UGGUGCCCUAGCUUCUUCGGAACCACGCUAAUCCAUCUCGAACUUGGCUGUGAAACGGAGGAGGGGGAAAGGUACUGUCGGGGUAGCCCGAUGGAAGAGCACUCCGGUGCCGGGAA
This 116-nucleotide ribosomal RNA is filed under the name Botryococcus braunii Showa. Lineage: Eukaryota; Viridiplantae; Chlorophyta; Trebouxiophyceae. The record is from RNAcentral.